This is a non-coding RNA of Mesocricetus auratus (golden hamster), 46 nucleotides long. The record is from Rfam. NCBI's taxonomy places the organism in Eukaryota, Metazoa, Chordata, Mammalia, Rodentia, Cricetidae.
CCAAAGGCUCUUUUCAGAGCCACCUACUCCAUCAAAACAGAGUUGU